AGCUUUUCCGCUGUUACCAGUUUGUCGGCGGACUUGAGACCAAGUGGCGUUGACCGCGACAAUGGGGUUCGAAUUUGGUGAAGAUCAGUUACAGGAAAAAAGGUGACGGUGGAUGCAAUGUGACUCCUGAUUAGUUGCUCUGGCAACCUCAGGGUACGUUCGCUGGUGGCCAUGGCAACGGCUGAAGCAUGGCGAUGGAGCCCGGCAGAUUAUUUAAAUUUAACAGGAAUGAGAAUACGGAGGCGGAUUGGCAAACCACAACGUCAUCACAGAGAAGAUGUCGCUUGUCAAUAAAACUGAAGCAUAACUGG
Danio rerio (zebrafish) is the source of this 311-nucleotide non-coding RNA. The record is from RefSeq and is a predicted model, not a curated record. NCBI's taxonomy places the organism in Eukaryota, Metazoa, Chordata, Actinopteri, Cypriniformes, Danionidae.